UACGUAGGGUGCGAGCGUUAAUCGGAAUUACUGGGCGUAAAGCGUGCGUAGGCGGUUCUCCAAGUCCGUUGUGAAAGCCCCGGGCUCAACCUGGGAAUGGCAGUGGAAACUAGGGGACUGGAAUCUGGCAGAGGGGGGUGGAAUGCCGCGUGUAGCAGUGAAAUGCGUAGAGAUCCGGAAGAACACCGGUGGCGAAGGCGGCCUGCUGGGGUCUUGGCUGACGCUGAAGCGCGACAGCGUGGGGAGCAAACAGG
Molecule: ribosomal RNA, 254 nt
Filed under: uncultured bacterium
Lineage: Bacteria
Description: partial 16S ribosomal RNA
Rfam family: Bacterial small subunit ribosomal RNA
Source: RNAcentral